Long non-coding RNA from Megalobrama amblycephala (Wuchang bream), 6340 nucleotides. RefSeq lists it as uncharacterized. The transcript is spliced from 4 exons. Lineage: Eukaryota; Metazoa; Chordata; Actinopteri; Cypriniformes; Xenocyprididae. The record is from RefSeq and is a predicted model, not a curated record.
CGUGUCAAAACGCGAAAUUUGUGUUCUGAAAAUGUUUGUCUUAGCAUUGAGGGUGAGUAAUAAAUGACAUUAUUUUCAUUUUUGGGUGAACUAACUAACCCUUUAAAUCAUAAUUUUAUAGUCAUUUUAGUUAUGAUAUCAUGGCAACAAAGUUGUAUAUAAAAUCGGUUAUAACUACACAGAAAUGGUCAGUAAGCCAUUUUAUCAUUCUGAAAUUGUGAUAACACAUAUUGCUUAUGACUUGUGGCUAUACUAUUGAAAUAGUGAGUAUUUUCAUGUUAUGGAUUGACUGUAUUCGCUUGUAUUGUAAGUGUCUCAAUGCUUUUUUUUUUUAAAGAAAAGGAAAUGAAUUUGAAUGGUAACCAAAAUUAUGUCACAUAAUGCAGAUUGAGUUAACUUGUAUUGAACCAAGAAUAUUACUUUAACACUCAAAACUUUUUUUGUGUUCAGCCAUUGUUAUCAAUCUGUAAUGGGAGACUGUUUUCCAUACGAUUAACUUAUCUUUACAUUACAUUCGCUUUUUCCCAUUAAAUUUACUGCUGUAGUAUUGACUCCGCCAUAAUCUCUUGCUUUUUGUGCUAAUGUUUGUCUCACUUUAUAUUCUUACAUGGUAAGAUCAGCGGUUACAUUUCCAUAAAAGACUUAAUUCUUGUUAUUCAGCCCCUUUUCAUAUGCCGAUCAAAAGCAUCUUCUUUUCACGAAGACAGUUUUCUCAGCUGUUCCAGGUGCCAGACGGUUCAAUGGCAAUCUGAAGGAGAAGGAGGAGGAGUUGUGCUCAAUUACACGUUGAAAUGAGAGCAUACUGCCACUGUACACAACAAAAUGGCCAACUGAUAAAUGGACUGACUGAAAACAGAUGACUCUAGGAAAUUUGCUGUUAUUUGCACAAAUAUUUGUGUGAAGCGAAAGAAAAACUCUCCAUUAUACAAGUGCCCUGAGCUACAAUGAGAGCAUUGUGAAGGGACAUCAAAGCUACUGCUGCUGCUGACCCCCUAGCACUCUCUUGCAGACCCCAGUUUGAAAACUCCUGUGUUACUCUCACUGAGUGUGACAAUAAGGCUUGGACACAGCCGAAGUUUCAAUCUACCCUAGCACGCAAACUUUUGAUGACUAUCCAGAAAAUAAUUGAAGUGUCAGAAAUUAUGGCACAUUUUGAGACCCCUGGUCAAUGCGUUGAUUACCCCUUCUUUCUGGUUUCUGACACCUGACCCAAAGGUAGUGGACACACCAAUAAAUUCUUGGAGAAAAAUAAGAAAUCCUGUUCUAUUACAGAAAAAGCGUGCAGCUGCAAAGACUAUUUCUUUUUGUUUGUUUGUCAGUUUAUGACACAGUUAAACCAUGGGGAAAAUGAUAUGCUGUGAAACGGAUUGUCUUGAUUGUAGUAAUUUCUUUUUCAAGCUGGGCAAAUGGAAAGGUCACCUGAUUGGCUUGCAUGAAUGAGAAAGAUCAGUGUUAACACCAACACCUGAUUUACUCCAUCACAUGACUCAUCUCAUGCUCAUGCUCUUGAAACAACUACCCAACAGCAUGUGUAUUGGGUUUCUUAUGUUGUAUUUAACAUUGAAGUACAACAGGAUGAGUGUGAUAUUUCAGCAGGUUUUUCUCUCGUAGCCUAAAGUCUCAGUCACAAGUGUGAUUUUGUCCCCUUCUGUUUCUUCAUUGGUAUUAUUGAUCUUGGAUAUGUAUUUUGUCUUCACAGUGCUCCCGUUCUACAUCAAAGUGACAGUACUGGCUGGCAUCUUAUCAGGAUGCACUUCAUUAUAUAUGGUACAGCAAGCAUUACUGGGCAGCUCAGAAGCAAGGUUCUGAGGCUCUGCAUAUGUGUAUGUAAAUAUCCUUUUGUUAGUUUCAUUGGGUUCUGUGCAAAAUUGCUCUUGCUUGGAUCCAUGUGUUUGCUUGUUUCCAGGCUGAAUCUGAGAUCCUUUUUCAAUACAAGGCUACACAUAAACAUAAAACAAGGCUAAUGGGAUGUAAUAUGUCUACCAUGGCCUGAUAGAAUGAUGAAUUGUUUUAAUUAUAGUUCAUAUAAUGCUUCAUGCUGUCCUCGAGGUUCUAGUGCAUACUCAGCAACAGAAGAUGCAAAUACUUGAAUGGUGACUCAUCUUCAUAUACUUGGAGGAAGUAAAGGAAGUAAAGAGCUCUAAACAUGUUUGAAUUAGACAUGAGCUAACAGUUGCUGAUCCACAGACAAGUAUCUGGUCUCUGACGUAAAGUCACUUGCGAGUAAAUGGAUGUGUAGUGAUUUCAAUGAAACCAUUGGAAUGUAAUUGUUUCACCUUUAUUGGAAUGGAUAGUUGAGAUGAAGGGAAGAGGAUCAAGACAUGACUUGGAACAGAUUUUAACUCACAAACACAUACUUCGAUAUUUGGAAAACAUGUUUUGUAUGUGUAUAUAACAGUAGCCAUGUUCUAAAUGUAUUAUAAUAGUUAGAUGUAACUACCCAAGGGGUUUGGCUGGUUAGCAUAAGCCAGUUAGCCUCUGCUAGUAGUCUUUCUGUUCGCUCUCCAUUGACAGACGUUCAAAAGAAGCCAUGCGUUCUGAUCUUUUUCUUUUUUUUUUACAAGCAAAAUAUAAAUCACACAAAUCAAUUAUUAAACUAUGUACACUAUAUAACUUUUGGCCCUCUAGCGGAUAAAAAAUUAAGCUGAAUGGUUAUCCUACUGCUUAUGAAAAUUCACUACUAAGAUUUUAUAUGUGUCACAAAAUUGCUUUGACAGACCGGUUGAGGAUCCAAAUGCAGCUUUAUUAGGGCAAUCCAGAAUCAUAAUCCAUAAAACAGGCAACAGGUCAAAACACAGGGCAGAUAAUCCAAAAAGUCAACAGAGCAGAAAAACACAGGCUAAUCCAUGAAACCAGGCAGAAAGUCAAAACAUGGAUAACCAGAGCGAGCGAUAUCAGAAAUGCAGUGUGACAAUUACAAGACUUCGCAAUAAGUGAUUGAAAACACAAAGCUAAUAAAAUGCAAAAACAAACAAGUUAAUCAUGCACAGGUGGAAUCGAUAAGACCAUAAUUAAUAAGACCCAAAAUUUAGCGUGCUCUAUGUCAGCCUUUUUCGCUCAUUGUGACAAUUAACAUUUGGCACUCUCACACCGCACCGUACAUCAAAGUAGCCAGAGCAACUUUUCUCUAUUUAUGGAUAUGACGAGACACUCACACUAGGUCUAAAAUAUAAACACUUAUAAUAGGCUUACAAUAGUGAAUCAGGGUAAGACAAAAACACUAUUUUGAAGAAGGAUUGAUGUAUUGACUUAUUAUUUGUGUUUUGUUAAUUAAAAAAAAAAAAAAAAAAAAAGUUACAUAUACUGUACCUUUAAAUACAAUCCCCGCUAACAAUUUUUGGCUCCCAGAACGUUAGUUUUUGGUUCCCAGAAUGUUCUUUUUUAAGGUUUGUUUUUGGUUAGCCAGGAAAGUUUUCUUAAUGGAAGUUUUAGUUUUUGAUUUGUAGAACGUUAUUCUAGCGUUCCCCUAACAUUGUUUUAACGUUCCUCUAAUGUUAUUCUAACAUUCUCCUAAUGUUCUUCUAAAGUUGGUUCCCAGAAUGUUAGUUUUUGGUUAGCCAGGAAAUAAAAUGUUAGUUAUUCUAAUGUUAUUUUAACAUUAAGGUUUGUUUAAGGUUUGUUUUUUGGUUAGCCAGGAAAGUUUUCUUAACGGAAAUAGAGCGUUAGAUUUGGUUUGUAUAAGUUUUCUAACGAUAUUUUAACGUUCCUUUAAUGAUAUUCUAACAUUCUCCUAACAUUCCCCUUACAUUAGUCUUUGGUUUCUAGAACAUUCCCCUUACAUUGGUUUUUGGUUCCUAGAGUGUUCUUUUUUAAGGUUUGUUUUUAGUUAGCCAGGAAAGUUUUCUUAAUGGAAGUUUUAGUUUUUGAUUUGUAGAACGUUAUUCUAACGUUAUUCUAACGUUCCCCUAACGUUGUUUUAACGUUCCUCUUAUGUUAUUCUAACAUUCUCCUAAUGUUCUUCUAAAGUUGGUUCCCAGAUUGUUAGUUUUUGGUUAGCCAGGAAAUAAAAUGUUAGUUAUUCUAAUGUUCCCCUAACGUUAUUUUAACAUUAAGGUUUGUUUAAGGUUAAUUUUUGGUUAGCCAGGAAAGUUUUCUUAACGGAAAUAGAAUGUUAGAUUUGGUUUGUAUAAGUUUUCUAACGAUAUUUUAACGUUCCUUUAAUGAUAUUCUAACAUUCUCCUAACAUUCUCCUUACAUUAGUCUUUGGUUUCUAGAACAUUCCCCUUACAUUGGCUUUUGGUUCCUAGAGUGUUCUUUUUUAAGGUUUGUUUUUAGUUAGCCAGGAAAGUUUUCUUAAUGGAAGUUUUAUUUUUUGAUUUGUAGAACGUUAUUCUAACGUUCCCCUAACGUUGUUUUAACGUUCCUCUAAUGUUAUUCUAACAUUCUCCUAAUGUUCUUCUAAAGUUGGUUCCCAGAAUGUAAGUUUUUGGUUAGCCAGGAAAUAAAAUGUUAGUUAUUCUAAUGUUCCCCUAAAGUUAUUUUAACAGUUAUUCUAACGUUCCCCUAACAUUAUUUUAAUGUUCCCAUAAUGUUAUUCUAACGUUCCCCUAACCUCUUUACUCCAAUAUCAUUACCCCAAUGUACGUCAGUAAUCAUCCAGCUCACCCUCGACCCAGUAAUGAGACCAGAUGAUGAAAGUUAGCUGAUAGUUAGCUAUAAGUAAUUAUUCAAUAAAGAAAUGGAUAAACGAAUGUUAGUAAGUAAAAUGAAAUUAACAUUCUGUAAGUUAUUUGAGGUUAUUUAAAAAUAUCCUCCCUGCAAUGUUCUGGGAACGUUAUUUUAUGGUUGCUAAAAAUAAAACCUAAAAAGAUCUUUCACAGAGUGUUAUUAUUUGGUUCUCUAAAAUAACCAAACAGGAACCAAUUACUUAGGGGGAUGUUCUGUGUUUGCUGGGAUUUUUCUUUCCACAAGCUCAUUGAGUGAAAACAUGCUUAUAUCACUAUACUGUAUUUUAAUUCUUGCAUCAAAUCAUUUUAGUCACUUUGCAGCUUGUUUUUCCAAAUUAUGGCUUUUUUAAAAGAAAGAAAGAAAAAAAACUUGCCCAUUUAAGCCAAACAUUUUAUAAAUAGCAUUAAAAAAUCAUAAAUCUUUUCCCCUAAAACAUGCAGGUACCCAGAUGCCUUCAGAGGUUUCCAGUCAGAGAACUCAAGGGAGUCUCAUAAUUCAAUGUAAAUGGUUGUUUCCGCCUUAGAAUCACUUCAGCUGUGUCCCAACAACCUGUGACCUCUCAAGAAAGCGUGAUGACAGAGGUCAGCGCAUUACACCUGACAACCACAAUCAGCAUGGGCAUGUGCAGCUGGAAAUUACCAUUGUCAUUUAUGAGGAUAAUUAUUGUAAUCUCCUCAUACAUCAGCCAUUACCAGCAUAGUGUAUUGGAAAUGAGGGGUCUAUUGCUUAUGGAACAUUUGUCGCUUUAUUCACUUUGUCUCUCUCUCUCUCUCUCUCUCUCUUGCUAACCCUCUUUCUCUCUCUCUCUUUUUCUCACUCAUACUGAAACCACCUUUUUAUAUCAUUAAAUAACCAUCUCAUUCUUUGCCAACAGGUUUAAAUGAAAGGGACUGUGGCAUUACAAAGGCAUUCAGAAUUAAUUCUGCUCUCAGGGUAAUUGGCACAUGCGACGACAACAGGCUUUCAAUGCCACCUGUUUUUUCAUCACAAACAUCUGACUGUGGCACACCGCAUCUCAUAUAUCUGAAAAUGUCAUAGGGCUGUAAAUACUUUUUUUCAUAUAAGUGUGACUGUUCUACUUUUGCCUUUCAUACAUUUGCAAUGUUAGGUCUCUUAGUCAUUAUCACAAUACAGUCAAAAGUGAGCAAUAAUUGGUGUUGGAAAAGCCAUUUUAUAAUAUUAAUUUGGUCCAUUUUUACUGUUCAACAAGAUGACUGAUGAGUUUUGUUAGAGUCUAUGCCUUUCUGUUCUUAUUAAUAAGAAUAUCCUAUCAUGUAGUGUCACUAGAAUGUUAAGCUUGUUAAGUUUGUAGUGUUACAGUGAAACUAUGUGCCGAUAAAUCUGUUUAUCAGUAUCCAAAAUAUACAGUGGGGUCCAAAAGUCUGCAACCACUAGUAAAAAAUUCUAUUGAGCAAAUUUCUAAUUUAGUAUAUUAAAAAUUUUUCAUGGUAAUUAUAUUAUUAGGAUAGUAAUUUGAGUAAAAAGUUCAAUCAAAAAAAUAAAAUACAUUUCAGAAUAUCUUUAGUCCACAUGCUCAGUGUCACAAAUGUGCUUAUUUGAGCAGUGACCUUAUUUUCUUAUUUUUGCAUAUCAUUUUUUUUUUUUUUUUAAUAUCUUAAAACUUUAUGUUUUCCAAAUUUUUUACAAUGUUUUUUUUUUUCCAGUGUUUGGA